Molecule: ribosomal RNA, 405 nt
Filed under: uncultured bacterium
Lineage: Bacteria
Description: partial 16S ribosomal RNA
Rfam family: Bacterial small subunit ribosomal RNA
Source: RNAcentral
AUUGAACGCUAGCGGGAUGCUUUACACAUGCAAGUCGAACGAGUGGAGGACGGGUGAGUAAUAUAUCGGAACGUGCCAAGUAGAGGGGGAUAAAUACUAGAAAGAGUGACUAAUAACGCAUACUAUUGGAGAGGCCGAUAUCGGAUUAGGUAGUUGGUGUGGUAAAGGCUAACCAAGGACACGCUACGUAGCUGGUUGGAGAAGACGACCAGCCACACUGGGACUGAGACACGGCCCAGACGCCUACGGGAGGCAGCAGUGGGGAAUUUUGGACAAUGGGGGAAACCCUACUCCAGCCAUCCCGCGUGUAUGAGAAGGCCUUCGGGUUGUAAAGUACUUUUGGCAGAGAAGCGGUAUCUGCAGAAUAAGCACCGGCUAACUACGUGCCAGCAGCCGCGGUAAUAC